RNAcentral lists this ribosomal RNA (768 nucleotides) under Anoxybacillus kestanbolensis. RNAcentral describes it as "bacterial SSU rRNA". It matches the Rfam family "Bacterial small subunit ribosomal RNA", at positions 28 to 777 of the family's 1533-position model. Lineage: Bacteria; Bacillati; Bacillota; Bacilli; Caryophanales; Anoxybacillaceae. The record is from RNAcentral.
GACGAACGCUGGCGGCGUGCCUAAUACAUGCAAGUUGAGCGGACGAUUCAAAAGCUUGCUUUUGAAUCGUUAGCGGCGGACGGGUGAGUAACACGUGGGCAACCUGCCCUGUAGACGGGGAUAACACCGAGAAAUCGGUGCUAAUACCGGAUAACACGAAAUGUCGCAUGACGUUUCGUUGAAAGACGGCGCAAGCUGUCGCUACAGGAUGGGCCCGCGGCGCAUUAGCUAGUUGGUGAGGUAACGGCUCACCAAGGCGACGAUGCGUAGCCGACCUGAGAGGGUGAUCGGCCACACUGGGACUGAGACACGGCCCAGACUCCUACGGGAGGCAGCAGUAGGGAAUCUUCCGCAAUGGACGAAAGUCUGACGGAGCAACGCCGCGUGAGCGAAGAAGGCCUUCGGGUCGUAAAGCUCUGUUGUUAGGGAAGAACAAGUAACGCAGUAACUGGCGUUACCGUGACGGUACCUAACGAGAAAGCCACGGCUAACUACGUGCCAGCAGCCGCGGUAAUACGUAGGUGGCAAGCGUUGUCCGGAAUUAUUAGGCGUAAAGCGCGCGCAGGCGGUUCCUUAAGUCUGAUGUGAAAGCCCACGGCUCAACCGUGGAGGGUCAUUGGAAACUGGGGGACUUGAGUGCAGAAGAGGAGAGCGGAAUUCCACGUGUAGCGGUGAAAUGCGUAGAGAUGUGGAGGAACACCAGUGGCGAAGGCGGCUCUCUGGUCUGUAACUGACGCUGAGGCGCGAAAGCGUGGGGAGCAAACAGGG